CUCACCUACGUGUAGGUGACUGAAAGUAUCGUACGAAUAAGGAUCGGCUAACUCCGUGCCAGCAGCCGCGGUAAUACGGAGGAUUCAAGCGUUAUCCGGAUUUAUUGGGUUUAAAGGGUGCGUAGGCGGUUUGAUAAGUUAGAGGUGAAAUCCCGGGGCUUAACUCCGGAACUGCCUCUAAUACUGUUGGACUAGAGAGUAGUUGCGGUAGGCGGAAUGUAUGGUGUAGCGGUGAAAUGCUUAGAGAUCAUACAGAACACCGAUUGCGAAGGCAGCUUACCAAACUAUAUCUGACGUUGAGGCACGAAAGCGUGGGGAGCAAACAGGAUUAGAUACCCUGGUAGUCCACGCAGUAAACGAUGAUAACUCGUUGUCGGCGAUACACAGUCGGUGACUAAGCGAAAGCGAUAAGUUAUCCACCUGGGGAGUACGUUCGCAAGAAUGAAACUCAAAGGAAUUGACGGA
RNAcentral lists this ribosomal RNA (465 nucleotides) under uncultured bacterium. RNAcentral's name for it is "bacterial SSU rRNA". It matches the Rfam family "Bacterial small subunit ribosomal RNA", at positions 451 to 917 of the family's 1533-position model. The record is from RNAcentral.